Molecule: non-coding RNA, 258 nt
Organism: Vicia faba (fava bean)
Lineage: Eukaryota; Viridiplantae; Streptophyta; Magnoliopsida; Fabales; Fabaceae
Source: the annotation of a GenBank genome assembly
AUGCUUCCAGGAGUUGAAUGUGCUAGAAAGAGACGGUUGCAUCAAAGCAGAGUAAGAGAAGGAGGACGUGGUGAUCCCACAACAACACGUUCAUUCUGUUUAUAUACCAGAAACGUUCAAUCUACUUCUUCUCCUUCAAUACUCUCUUUAUUGGAAAGAAGCAUGUUAAAGCAGAAACAGUCAUUGAUUGAUGAGAAACUGGGAGGAUCAGCCAGAGAAGCCAAACGGAGACUAGAUGAGAAGCUUACAGCAGGUUGA